GCAGUCGAGCGGACAGAUGGGAGCUUGCUCCCUGAUGUUAGCGGCGGACGGGUGAGUAACACGUGGGUAACCUGCCUGUAAGACUGGGAUAACUCCGGGAAACCGGGGCUAAUACCGGAUGGUUGUUUGAACCGCAUGGUUCAAACAUAAAAGGUGGCUUCGGCUACCACUUACAGAUGGACCCGCGGCGCAUUAGCUAGUUGGUGAGGUAACGGCUCACCAAGGCAACGAUGCGUAGCCGACCUGAGAGGGUGAUCGGCCACACUGGGACUGAGACACGGCCCAGACUCCUACGGGAGGCAGCAGUAGGGAAUCUUCCGCAAUGGACGAAAGUCUGACGGAGCAACGCCGCGUGAGUGAUGAAGGUUUUCGGAUCGUAAAGCUCUGUUGUUAGGGAAGAACAAGUACCGUUCGAAUAGGGCGGUACCUUGACGGUACCUAACCAGAAAGCCACGGCUAACUACGUGCCAGCAGCCGCGGUAAUACGUAGGUGGCAAGCGUUGUCCGGAAUUAUUGGGCGUAAAGGGCUCGCAGGCGGUUUCUUAAGUCUGAUGUGAAAGCCCCCGGCUCAACCGGGGAGGGUCAUUGGAAACUGGGGAACUUGAGUGCAGAAGAGGAGAGUGGAAUUCCACGUGUAGCGGUGAAAUGCGUAGAGAUGUGGAGGAACACCAGUGGCGAAGGCGACUCUCUGGUCUGUAACUGACGCUGAGGAGCGAAAGCGUGGGGAGCGAACAGGAUUAGAUACCCUGGUAGUCCACGCCGUAAACGAUGAGUGCUAAGUGUUAGGGGGUUUCCGCCCCUUAGUGCUGCAGCUAACGCAUUAA
RNAcentral lists this ribosomal RNA (824 nucleotides) under Bacillus subtilis. RNAcentral describes it as "bacterial SSU rRNA". It matches the Rfam family "Bacterial small subunit ribosomal RNA", at positions 57 to 863 of the family's 1533-position model. Lineage: Bacteria; Bacillati; Bacillota; Bacilli; Caryophanales; Bacillaceae. The record is from RNAcentral.